Molecule: ribosomal RNA, 921 nt
Filed under: uncultured bacterium
Lineage: Bacteria
Description: bacterial SSU rRNA
Rfam family: Bacterial small subunit ribosomal RNA
Source: RNAcentral
GAGUUUGAUCCUGGCUCAGGAUGAACGCUAGCGACAGGCUUAACACAUGCAAGUCGAGGGGCAGCGGGGGAGUAGCAAUACUCCCGCCGGCGACCGGCGCACGGGUGAGUAACACGUAUGAAACCUGCCCGUAGCAGGGGGAUAAGCGGAAGAAAUUCCGUCUAAUACCGCGUAACAACCCUUGGAGGCAUCUCCCCGGGGUUUAAAGGAAGCGAUUCCGGCUACGGAUGGUCAUGCGUCGCAUUAGCUAGUUGGCGGGGUAACGGCCCACCAAGGCGACGAUGCGUAGGGGUUCUGAGAGGAAGGUCCCCCACACUGGUACUGAGACACGGACCAGACUCCUACGGGAGGCAGCAGUGAGGAGUAUUGGUCAAUGGGCGCGAGCCUGAACCAGCCAAGUCGCGUGAGGGAAGACGGUCCUAUGGAUUGUAAACCUCUUUUGUCGGGGAGCAAAAGACGCCACGUGUGGCGUUCCGAGAGUACCCGAAGAAAAAGCAUCGGCUAACUCCGUGCCAGCAGCCGCGGUAAUACGGAGGAUGCGAGCGUUAUCCGGAUUUAUUGGGUUUAAAGGGUGCGCAGGCGGAAGAUCAAGUCAGCGGUAAAAUUGAGAGGCUCAACCUCUUCGAGCCGUUGAAACUGGUUUUCUUGAGUGAGCGAGAAGUAUGCGGAAUGCGUGGUGUAGCGGUGAAAUGCAUAGAUAUCACGCAGAACUCCGAUUGCGAAGGCAGCAUACCGGCGCUCAACUGACGCUCAUGCACGAAAGUGUGGGUAUCGAACAGGAUUAGAUACCCUGGUAGUCCACACAGUAAACGAUGAAUACUAAUUGUUCGGGGAGAAUGAUCCCUGAGUGAUACAGCGAAAGCGUUAAGUAUUCCACCUGGGGAGUACGCCGGCAACGGUGAAACUCAAAGGAAUUGACGG